This 1364-nucleotide ribosomal RNA is filed under the name uncultured beta proteobacterium. Its description in RNAcentral is "16S ribosomal RNA". It matches the Rfam family "Bacterial small subunit ribosomal RNA", at positions 34 to 1395 of the family's 1533-position model. The record is from RNAcentral. Lineage: Bacteria; Pseudomonadati; Pseudomonadota; Betaproteobacteria.
CGCUGGCGGCAUGCCUUACACAUGCAAGUCGAACGGCAGCACGGGUGCUUGCACCUGGUGGCGAGUGGCGAACGGGUGAGUAAUACAUCGGAACAUGUCCUGUAGUGGGGGAUAGCCCGGCGAAAGCCGGAUUAAUACCGCAUACGAUCUACGGAUGAAAGCGGGGGACCUUCGGGCCUCGCGCUAUAGGGUUGGCCGAUGGCUGAUUAGCUAGUUGGUGGGGUAAAGGCCUACCAAGGCGACGAUCAGUAGCUGGUCUGAGAGGACGACCAGCCACACUGGGACUGAGACACGGCCCAGACUCCUACGGGAGGCAGCAGUGGGGAAUUUUGGACAAUGGGCGAAAGCCUGAUCCAGCAAUGCCGCGUGUGUGAAGAAGGCCUUCGGGUUGUAAAGCACUUUUGUCCGGAAAGAAAUCCUUGGCUCUAAUACAGUCGGGGGAUGACGGUACCGGAAGAAUAAGCACCGGCUAACUACGUGCCAGCAGCCGCGGUAAUACGUAGGGUGCGAGCGUUAAUCGGAAUUACUGGGCGUAAAGCGUGCGCAGGCGGUUUGCUAAGACCGAUGUGAAAUCCCCGGGCUCAACCUGGGAACUGCAUUGGUGACUGGCAGGCUAGAGUAUGGCAGAGGGGGGGUAGAAUUCCACGUGUAGCAGUGAAAUGCGUAGAGAUGUGGAGGAAUACCGAUGGCGAAGGCAGCCCCCUGGGCCAAUACUGACGCUCAUGCACGAAAGCGUGGGGAGCAAACAGGAUUAGAUACCCUGGUAGUCCACGCCCUAAACGAUGUCAACUAGUUGUUGGGGAUUCAUUUCCUUAGUAACGUAGCUAACGCGUGAAGUUGACCGCCUGGGGAGUACGGUCGCAAGAUUAAAACUCAAAGGAAUUGACGGGGACCCGCACAAGCGGUGGAUGAUGUGGAUUAAUUCGAUGCAACGCGAAAAACCUUACCUACCCUUGACAUGGUCGGAAUCCCGCUGAGAGGUGGGAGUGCUCGAAAGAGAACCGGCGCACAGGUGCUGCAUGGCUGUCGUCAGCUCGUGUCGUGAGAUGUUGGGUUAAGUCCCGCAACGAGCGCAACCCUUGUCCUUAGUUGCUACGCAAGAGCACUCUAAGGAGACUGCCGGUGACAAACCGGAGGAAGGUGGGGAUGACGUCAAGUCCUCAUGGCCCUUAUGGGUAGGGCUUCACACGUCAUACAAUGGUCGGAACAGAGGGUUGCCAACCCGCGAGGGGGAGCUAAUCCCAGAAAACCGAUCGUAGUCCGGAUUGCACUCUGCAACUCGAGUGCAUGAAGCUGGAAUCGCUAGUAAUCGCGGAUCACGCAUGCCGCGGUGAAUACGUUCCCGGGUCUUGUACUCACCGCCC